RNAcentral lists this ribosomal RNA (459 nucleotides) under uncultured bacterium. RNAcentral's name for it is "partial 16S ribosomal RNA". It matches the Rfam family "Bacterial small subunit ribosomal RNA", at positions 338 to 795 of the family's 1533-position model. The record is from RNAcentral.
CCUACGGGUGACUGCAGUGAGGAAUAUUGGUCAAUGGGCGCGAGCCUGAACCAGCCAAGUAGCGUGAAGGAUGACUGCCCUACGGGUUGUAAACUUCUUUUAUAAAGGAAUAAAGUGAGGCACGUGUGCUUUUUUGUAGGUACUUUAUGAAUGAGGAUCGGCAAACUCCGUGCCAGAAGCCGCGGUAAUACGGAGGAUGCGAGCGUUAUCCGGAUUUAUUGGGUUUAAAGGGUGCGUAGGCGGAUCAUUAAGUCCGUGGUAAAAUUGAGGGGCUCAACCCCUUCCCGCCAUUGAAACUGGCGCUCUUGAGUGGAAGAGAAGUAUGCGGAAUGCGUGGUGUAGCGGUGAAAUGCAUAGAUAUCACGCAGAACCCCGAUUGCGAAGGCAGCAUGCCGGCUUCCGACUGACGCUGAAGCACGAAAGCGUGGGGAUCGAACAGGAUUAGAUACCCUUGUAGUC